Molecule: ribosomal RNA, 634 nt
Filed under: uncultured bacterium
Lineage: Bacteria
Description: bacterial SSU rRNA
Rfam family: Bacterial small subunit ribosomal RNA
Source: RNAcentral
AACGCUAAUACCGCAUAAGACCACACUUCCACAUGGGAGAGGGGUCAAAGGAGCAAUCCGCUGAAAGAUGGGCUCGCGUCCGAUUAGAUAGUUGGGGGGGUAACGGCCCACCAAGUCGACGAUCGGUAGCCGGACUGAGAGGUUGAACGGCCACAUUGGGACUGAGACACGGCCCAGACUCCUACGGGAGGCAGCAGUGAGGGAUAUUGGUCAAUGGGGGAAACCCUGAACCAGCAACGCCGCGUGAGGGAAGACGGUUUUCGGAUUGUAAACCUCUGUCCUCUGUGAAGAUAAUGACGGUAGCAGAGGAGGAAGCUCCGGCUAACUACGUGCCAGCAGCCGCGGUAAUACGUAGGGAGCGAGCGUUGUCCGGAUUUACUGGGUGUAAAGGGUGCGUAGGCGGGUAAGCAAGUCAGAAGUGAAAUCCAUGGGCUUAACCCAUGAACUGCUUUUGAAACUGUUUAUCUUGAGUGAAGUAGAGGUAGGCGGAAUUCCCGGUGUAGCGGUGAAAUGCGUAGAGAUCGGGAGGAACACCAGUGGCGAAGGCGGCCUACUGGGCUUUAACUGACGCUGAAGCACGAAAGCGUGGGUAGCAAACAGGAUUAGAUACCCUGGUAGUCCAUGCCGUAAACCA